RNAcentral lists this ribosomal RNA (320 nucleotides) under uncultured Prevotella sp. RNAcentral describes it as "partial 16S ribosomal RNA". The record is from RNAcentral. Lineage: Bacteria; Pseudomonadati; Bacteroidota; Bacteroidia; Bacteroidales; Prevotellaceae.
GGAGUUUGGACCGUGUCUCAGUUCCAAUGUGGGGGACCUUCCUCUCAGAACCCCUACUGAUCGAUGGCUCGGUGGGCCGUUACCCCGCCGACUACCUAAUCAGACGCAUCCCCAUCCUAUAGCGGCAAGCCUUUGUUCCAUUUUAGAUGUCUGCAUUGGAAAACAUAGAGUAUUAAUCCGACUUUCGCCGGGCUAUCCUCUACUAUAGGGAAGGUUGGAUACGCGUUACUCACCCAUUCGCCGGUCGCCAUCAGAGACAGCAAGCUGCCUCCAUGAUGCCCCUCGACUUGCAUGUGUUAAGCCUGUAGCUAGCGUUCAUC